Molecule: transfer RNA, 75 nt
Filed under: Candidatus Methanofilum arcanum
Lineage: Archaea; Methanobacteriati; Methanobacteriota; Methanomicrobia; Methanomicrobiales; Methanospirillaceae
Description: tRNA-Met
Rfam family: tRNA
About the family: Transfer RNA (tRNA) molecules are approximately 80 nucleotides in length. Their secondary structure includes four short double-helical elements and three loops (D, anti-codon, and T loops).
Source: RNAcentral
AGCGAGGUGGGGUAGUUAGGAUAUCCCGACGGGCUCAUAACCCGUAGAUCGAUGGUUCAAAUCCAUUCCUCGCUA